GUGCCAGCCGCCGCGGUAAUACGUAGGGUGCGGGCGUUAAUCGGAAUUACUGGGCGUAAAGCGUGCGCAGGCGGCUUUGCAAGACAGAGGUGAAAUCCCCGGGCUCAACCUGGGAACUGCCUUUGUGACUGCAAGGCUAGAGUACGGCAGAGGGGGAUGGAAUUCCGCGUGUAGCAGUGAAAUGCGUAGAUAUGCGGAGGAACACCGAUGGCGAAGGCAAUCCCCUGGGCCUGUACUGACGCUCAUGCACGAAAGCGUGGGGAGCAAACAGGAUU
This 275-nucleotide ribosomal RNA is filed under the name uncultured Burkholderiales bacterium. Its description in RNAcentral is "partial 16S ribosomal RNA". It matches the Rfam family "Bacterial small subunit ribosomal RNA", at positions 505 to 779 of the family's 1533-position model. The record is from RNAcentral. Lineage: Bacteria; Pseudomonadati; Pseudomonadota; Betaproteobacteria; Burkholderiales.